CAGCCGCCGCGGUAAUACGUAGGGUGCGAGCGUUAAUCGGAUUUACUGGGCGUAAAGCGUGCGCAGGCGGCCCGUUAAGACAGGUGUGAAAUCCCUGGGCUCAACCUAGGAAUUGCGCUUGUGACUGGCGGGCUCGAGUACGGUAGAGGGGGGUGGAAUUCCUGGUGUAGCAGUGAAAUGCGUAGAGAUCAGGAGGAACACCGAUGGCGAAGGCAGCCCCCUGGGCCUGUACUGACGCUCAUGCACGAAAGCGUGGGGAGCAAACAGGAUUAGAUACCCUGUUAGUCCACGCCCUAAACGAUGGGUACUAGCCGUUUGGUGCGCGAUAGCGCUGAGUGGCGAAGCUAACGCGUGAAGUACCCCGCCUGGGGAGUACGGCCGCAAGGUUGAAACUUAAAGGAAUUGGCGGG
Molecule: ribosomal RNA, 410 nt
Filed under: uncultured microorganism
Description: bacterial SSU rRNA
Rfam family: Bacterial small subunit ribosomal RNA
Source: RNAcentral